This 433-nucleotide ribosomal RNA is filed under the name uncultured bacterium. Its description in RNAcentral is "partial 16S ribosomal RNA". It matches the Rfam family "Bacterial small subunit ribosomal RNA", at positions 29 to 507 of the family's 1533-position model. The record is from RNAcentral.
AACGAACGCUGGCGGCAUGCCUAACACAUGCAAGUCGAACGAGACCUUCGGGGCUAGUGGCGCACGGGUGCGUAACGCGUGGGAACCUGCCCUUAGGUUCGGAAUAACUCCCCGAGAGGGGUGCUAAUACCGGAUAAUGUCUUCGGACCAAAGAUUUAUCGCCUUUGGAUGGGCCCGCGUGGGAUUAGCUAGUUGGUAGGGUAAAAGCCUACCAAGGCGACGAUCCAUAGCUGGUCUGAGAGGAUGAUCAGCCACACUGGCACUGAGACACGGCCCAGACUCCUACGGGAGGCAGCAGUGGGGAAUAUUGGAAAAUGGGCGAAAGCCUGAUCCAGCAAUGCCGCGUGAGUGAUGAAGGCCUUAGGGUUGUAAAGCUCUUUUACCCGGGAUGAUAAUGACAGUACCGGGAGAAUAAGCUCCGGCUAACUCCGUG